Molecule: ribosomal RNA, 482 nt
Filed under: uncultured bacterium
Lineage: Bacteria
Description: partial 16S ribosomal RNA
Rfam family: Bacterial small subunit ribosomal RNA
Source: RNAcentral
AUUGAACGCUGGCGGCAUGCCUUACACGUGCAAGUCGAACGGUAGCGGGCCUUCGGGUGCCGACGAGUGGCGCACGGGUGAGUAAUACAUCGGAACGUGCCCGAUCGUGGGGGAUAACGAGGCGAAAGCUUUGCUAAUACCGCAUACGAUCUACGGAUGAAAGCAGGGGACCGCAAGGCCUUGCGCGGACGGAGCGGCCGAUGGCAGAUUAGGUAGUUGGUGGGAUAAAAGCUUACCAAGCCGACGAUCUGUAGCUGGUCUGAGAGGAUGAUCAGCCACACUGGGACUGAGACACGGCCCAGACUCCUACGGGAGGCAGCAGUGGGGAAUUUUGGACAAUGGGCGCAAGCCUGAUCCAGCCAUGCCGCGUGCAGGAUGAAGGCCUUCGGGUUGUAAACUGCUUUUGUACGGAACGAAAAGCCUUCUUUUAAUACAGGAGGGUCAUGACGGUACCGUAAGAAUAAGCACCGGCUAACUACGUG